RNAcentral lists this ribosomal RNA (513 nucleotides) under uncultured bacterium. Its description in RNAcentral is "partial 16S ribosomal RNA". It matches the Rfam family "Bacterial small subunit ribosomal RNA", at positions 28 to 523 of the family's 1533-position model. The record is from RNAcentral.
GAUGAACGCUGGCGGCGUGCCUAAUACAUGCAAGUCGAGCGAACAGACGAGGAGCUUGCUCCUCUGACGUUAGCGGCGGACGGGUGAGUAACACGUGGAUAACCUGCCUAUAAGACUGGGAUAACUUCGGGAAGCCGGAGCUAAUACCGGAUAAUAUAUUGAACCGCAUGGUUCAAUAGUGAAAGACGGUUUUGCUGUCACUUAUAGAUGGAUCCGCGCCGCAUUAGCUAGUUGGUGAGGUAACGGCUUACCAAGGCAACGAUGCGUAGCCGACCUGAGAGGGUGAUCGGCCACACUGGAACUGAGACACGGUCCAGACUCCUACGGGAGGCAGCAGUAGGGAAGCUUCCGCAAUGGGCGAAAGCCUGACGGAGCAACGCCGCGUGAGUGAUGAAGGUCUUCGGAUCGUAAAACUCUGUUAUUAGGGAAGAACAAAUGUGUAAGUAACUAUGCACGUCUUGACGGUACCUAAUCAGAAAGCCACGGCUAACUACGUGCCAGCAGCCGCCGUAA